CCGAGGGCCGUCCCCGUUCCCUCCGGGUCCUCCGCGCACCGCGGCUCCCGGCAGCGCGAGGGCGGCCGGCCAGAGCGGUUUCAAACUUCGAAAACUGCGCUCUGAUCGCGGGAACGUACAGACUCGUGCCGCCUCGAGUCCGAUUCUCGGAGCAGGUGUCAGGCGCCCGGCUACUGCUGUGCUGUGGGCACGGCCCGUGACGGUUCUGACGAGCAGCUGGGUAGGGCUCCGGGGGCUGCAGCCACCGAGCUCAGUAACUUCCUUUAAAAGCAACAUAAACAGCACAAAAUUAGACUGUUUUGUGGAAGCAGAAAUGCUUGGUAGUGGUAGGACUCUGUGCGCUUGCCUAGCAUGCCAUUGCAAGGACAAUCAGCAUGGAAAACCAGGACUUUGAGCUCUGCAUCUCUGCUUGAUCUUGACUUGCUGGUUGAUACCAGGAGCUGCUUCCCAGAUCCUCUUGAUUCGGUUCGAGAAGUUAGAAUUACCUGUAAUCAUUGGUAAACCAAAAGUCCCGAAUGGAGAACAAUGACAGGCGCCUACCGAGAAGGAGAAUCCCGAGGGUCCCGUUUCGGUUACGCAGUGAGAGAGCAGAGGGUGGGAGAGAGCUUGCAAGGUCAUCUCUGUUUGGAAGCAGUUCUCUUGGCCUUUAGCCCUCCCCUCAGCAGCUGACUUCCAAAUGUCCCUGUAGAAUUCUGAUUGUGGUAUUGGCUUGUGGCUGUGCUGAACUAAGAAACAGCUGAGCUGAAAUUCCCAGACUAAAAGAUAUGAUGGGUUCUAGUAACCUUGGUACCUGUCUUCUGCUUUUUUUCCAAACUAUCCAAAAUAUCCAG
RNAcentral lists this long non-coding RNA (830 nucleotides) under Gallus gallus (chicken). RNAcentral describes it as "lncRNA (ENSGALG00010011383.1)". The record is from RNAcentral. Lineage: Eukaryota; Metazoa; Chordata; Aves; Galliformes; Phasianidae.